UAGGGAAUCUUCCACAAUGGACGCAAGUCUGAUGGAGCAACGCCGCGUGAGUGAAGAAGGGUUUCGGACCGUAAAGCUCUGUUGUUGGUGAAGAAGGAUAGAGGUAGUAACUGGCCUUUAUUUGACGGUAAUCAACCAGAAAGUCACGGCUAACUACGUGCCAGCAGCCGCGGUAAUACGUAGGUGGCAAGCGUUGUCCGGAUUUAUUGGGCGUAAAGCGAGCGCAGGCGGAAGAAUAAGUCUGAUGUGAAAGCCCUCGGCUUAACCGAGGAAUUGCAUCGGAAACUGUUUUCUUGAGUGCAGAAGAGGAGAGUAGAACUCCAUGUGUAGCGGUGGAAUGCGUAGAUAUAUGGAAGAAUACCAGUGGCGAAGGCGGCUCUCUGGUCUGCAACUGACGCUGAGGCUCGAAAGCAUGGGUAGCGAACAGGAUUAGAUACCCUGGUAGUCCAUGCCGUAAACGAUGAGUGCUAAGUGUUGGGAGGCUUCCGCCUCUCAGUGCUGCAGCUAACGCAUUAAGCACUCCGCCUGGGGGAGUACGACCGCAAGGUUGAAAC
RNAcentral lists this ribosomal RNA (554 nucleotides) under uncultured bacterium. RNAcentral describes it as "partial 16S ribosomal RNA". It matches the Rfam family "Bacterial small subunit ribosomal RNA", at positions 355 to 900 of the family's 1533-position model. The record is from RNAcentral.